ACAUGCAAGUCGAGCGCGCCCUUCGGGGUGAGCGGCGGACGGGUGAGUAACGCGUGGGAAUAUGCCCUUCUCUAAGGAAUAGCCUCUGGAAACGGUGAGUAAUACCUUAUACGCCCUUCGGGGGAAAGAUUUAUCGGAUUUGGAUCGGCCCGCGUUAGAUUAGGUAGUUGGUGGGGUAAUGGCCUACCAAGCCUACGAUCUAUAGCUGGUUUUAGAGGAUGAUCAGCAACACUGGGACUGAGACACGGCCCAGACUCCUACGGGAGGCAGCAGUGGGGAAUCUUAGACAAUGGGCGCAAGCCUGAUCUAGCCAUGCCGCGUGAGUGAUGAAGGCCUUAGGGUCGUAAAGCUCUUUCGCCUGUGAUGAUAAUGACAGUAGCAGGUAAAGAAACCCCGGCUAACUCCGUGCCAGCAGCCGCGGUAAUACGGAGGGGGAUAGCGUUGUUCGGAAUUACUGGGCGUAAAGCGCACGUAGGCGGAUUAGAAAGUUAGGGGUGAAAUCCCGGGGCUCAACCUCGGAACUGCCUCUAAAACU
RNAcentral lists this ribosomal RNA (535 nucleotides) under uncultured Alphaproteobacteria bacterium. Its description in RNAcentral is "bacterial SSU rRNA". It matches the Rfam family "Bacterial small subunit ribosomal RNA", at positions 53 to 634 of the family's 1533-position model. Lineage: Bacteria; Pseudomonadati; Pseudomonadota; Alphaproteobacteria. The record is from RNAcentral.